Catagonus wagneri (Chacoan peccary) is the source of this 122-nucleotide small nuclear RNA. NCBI's taxonomy places the organism in Eukaryota, Metazoa, Chordata, Mammalia, Artiodactyla, Tayassuidae. The record is from Ensembl.
GCAUUGUUUGCAAGGAGAGGUUAGCAUUCCCCUUGACAAGGAUGGAAGAGGCCCUUGGGCCUGACAACACUCAUACGGUUAAGGCAUUGCCACCUAUUUGUGGCAUUGAACCAUUGUUUUUG